RNAcentral lists this ribosomal RNA (500 nucleotides) under uncultured bacterium. RNAcentral's name for it is "bacterial SSU rRNA". It matches the Rfam family "Bacterial small subunit ribosomal RNA", at positions 8 to 526 of the family's 1533-position model. The record is from RNAcentral.
AGGGUUUGAUCCUGGCUCAGGACGAACGCUGGCGGCAUGCCUAACACAUGCAAGUCGAACGAGAAAGUUCCUUCGGGAGCGAUUAAAGUGGCGCACGGGUGAGUAACGCGUAGACAAUCUGCCCUUCAGUCUGGGACAACUUUUCGAAAGAAGAGCUAAUACCGGAUAACAAUGUUUAACCUAAGUUAAGUAUUUGAAAGCUUUAUGUGCUGAAGGAGGGGUCUGCGUCCCAUUAGCUAGUUGGUAAGGUAAAGGCUUACCAAGGCGACGAUGGGUAGCGGGUUUGAGAGGACGAUCCGCCACACUGGAACUGAGACACGGUCCAGACUCCUACGGGAGGCAGCAGUGGGGAAUAUUGCACAAUGGAGGCAACUCUGAUGCAGCAAUGUCGCGUGAGUGAAGAAGGCCCUUGGGUCGUAAAGCUCUUUUAUGGGGGAAGAUGAUGACGGUACCCCAAGAAUAAGCACCGGCUAACUAUGUGCCAGCCGCCGCGGUAAUAC